CGGCGAACGGGUGAGUAACGCGUGGGUACCUGCCUUGAGGUGGGGGAUAACCCGGGGAAACUCGGACUAAUACCGCAUAUGAUCGCGAGAUCAAAGCGGGCCGCAAGGCUCGCGCCACAAGAGGGGCCCGCGUCCGAUUAGCUAGUUGGUAGGGUAAUGGCCUACCAAGGCGACGAUCGGUAGCCGGCCUGAGAGGGUGAUCGGCCACACUGGAACUGAGACACGGUCCAG
RNAcentral lists this ribosomal RNA (231 nucleotides) under uncultured bacterium. RNAcentral's name for it is "partial 16S ribosomal RNA". It matches the Rfam family "Bacterial small subunit ribosomal RNA", at positions 96 to 334 of the family's 1533-position model. The record is from RNAcentral.